UACAGAGACCUCAAGCGUUAUCCGGAAUCAUUGGGCGUAAAGCGUACCGAUAGGUGGUUAAGAAAGUCAGAUGUGAAAUCUCCGAGCUCAACUCGGAAUCUGUCAUUUGAAACUUCUUGACUAGAGGGGCAAAGAGGAAGCUGGAACGAACGGUGUAGUAGUGAAAUGCGUUGAUAUUGUUCGGAACACCAAUAGCGUAGGCAGGCUUCUGGGUGCCACCUGACACUGCUAGGACGAAAGCGUGGGGAGCGAAUGGG
RNAcentral lists this ribosomal RNA (257 nucleotides) under uncultured bacterium. RNAcentral's name for it is "partial 16S ribosomal RNA". It matches the Rfam family "Bacterial small subunit ribosomal RNA", at positions 524 to 776 of the family's 1533-position model. The record is from RNAcentral.